UGCUCACUUCAGCAACACAUUUACAUUGCAAUGAUACAGAGAAGACUAGCAUGGCCACCGUGCAAAGAUAACACGCAAAUUCAUGAAGUGUUCUAUAUUUUU
Molecule: small nuclear RNA, 102 nt
Organism: Oryctolagus cuniculus (rabbit)
Lineage: Eukaryota; Metazoa; Chordata; Mammalia; Lagomorpha; Leporidae
Source: Ensembl